UCCAUUGCAGCAAUUUUAGUGUGCUACCCAACUUUUUGUAGCCCUAUUUGCAAUCUGGGUACAACAACUUUUAUGAUCCUCCAACACCUUCUCAAACUUCUUUAUCUCCUUCGUAUUUUUUGAGUCUUUCUGUGCAUCUAACAAUACCUGACCUAGUUCGUCAGCUGGUUCAUCUUCUGCAAAAUCUUCUUCAGCCUCACCCAUUGUAGUAUUUGCAAAGGCACCCCUUUCAGCCUAGUCUGGAAUGUUGUUAUCAUCAUCAUAUUCUUCUCC
This 273-nucleotide long non-coding RNA is filed under the name Setaria viridis. RNAcentral's name for it is "long non-coding RNA (SVIR_LNC004248)". Lineage: Eukaryota; Viridiplantae; Streptophyta; Magnoliopsida; Poales; Poaceae. The record is from RNAcentral.